This is a long non-coding RNA of Drosophila ananassae, 1093 nucleotides long. RefSeq lists it as uncharacterized. The transcript is spliced from 2 exons. NCBI's taxonomy places the organism in Eukaryota, Metazoa, Arthropoda, Insecta, Diptera, Drosophilidae. The record is from RefSeq and is a predicted model, not a curated record.
GCUUGUUUUAACUUAACAAAUAAACCAAAUGCCUAAAAGUAAACCCCAUUUAGUUAAGCUUGGAAUAACCAAAAAUACAAAACAAACAAAACAAAAACAAAUAGCUUGGUUAAGCUUAAAGUUCCUUAUCUAUUGAUAAUCAAUUAUCUACUUAGAAUUGAGCAUUUAAGUAUCGGUCUAAGCUUAGAAUAAGCAGCGACCAAGUUCUUUUCUCUUGUGGCUGCUAAGAUAAGCGCAUCGCUCGCGGUUAAACUCAAGUAUUUAUUUAACCCCCGGAAAAAAAAAAAAGACACGUGGUGGGAAAUUUCCACCUAAGUUUCCCAAAACUUAAACGCCGAGGGAAGUGAGUAGCGCCCAGUGCGUUAUAAGUAAAUUACAUUUUUGUGGUGCCAAUUCAAGGUCGAAUUGGCACCCAGUAAGAACCCAUUUUUUUAUUGUUCUUACAUUGGGAACAAGUUUAUAAGUCCCCAACUAGCCAGUUUUACCCUAAGAAGGGCUCGAAGCGCGGGAUCAGAUGGAUUAAUUAUAAUUAGAGUGAGAGAUACAAUUUUUUCUUGGAAGUAAGGUGCAUGUGCCAAUAAUUUUCCCUCAUUAACUAAAACCCGCCAAUGGCCAGCAUAUGCACCCGAAUCGUCCAAUGACGUCACUCAUCGCUCCAAGACAGUUACGCCUGUCCCAUGUGGUUUCUGGAAUUAUUAAGUUGAUUUAAUUAUUUUGGCGUUUAAUAAUGUAAAAAAAUAAAUUUUCCAGUUCCCUUAAUUUUGUAUUUUUUAUUUAAUUACUUAAAUACUAAACAUGAAUGGCUCGGAAAUAUUAAAUAGUUUGGUGAAUAUAUGUAUACAUACAUACAUAAAAAUAACCUUUAUGCCCUAAAAUUAUAGAUUCAUCGCUCAACCCGACAAAAGAUCUUUUGGACGUGGAAAUAAACUCGAUGUAAGUGAAAAAAAACACAUUACCCCAAAUUAAAAAUUGUUUGUGGUUAGGCCGAUUUUUCUCCGUGUACUAAAAGCUUUACCUGAAAGAUUUUUGUUUGCCAAACGGUAAAAUCGAACCAUGCGGUUUGCAAUUAAAAUAUAGAACAAUGGUACACUGA